RNAcentral lists this microRNA precursor (136 nucleotides) under Rhizobium sp. BK619. RNAcentral describes it as "microRNA MIR1846". Lineage: Bacteria; Pseudomonadati; Pseudomonadota; Alphaproteobacteria; Hyphomicrobiales; Rhizobiaceae. The record is from RNAcentral.
CUGUCCUGCCGGACAUCUCCCCCACAAGGGGGGAGAUCGGCAAGGAGUAAGACAAUCGCUCUAUAUCGAUUGUUUGGGGAGGCCGGUGCUCCGAUUCAAUCUCCCCCCUUGUGGGGGAGAUGUCCGGCAGGACAGA